Molecule: long non-coding RNA, 344 nt
Filed under: Cyanistes caeruleus (blue tit)
Lineage: Eukaryota; Metazoa; Chordata; Aves; Passeriformes; Paridae
Description: lncRNA (ENSCCEG00000009764.1)
Source: RNAcentral
GUUUUGUCCUUCUCCAAACAGGGGCAGGUGGGAAUACGCUGAAGCAGAAGCACCAAAGUUAGAAGGAGAUCUUCUAAGGUGUAGAGAAACAGAAAGAACAUCUUCUGAAGGAGGGGCAGGAUCUGCAUACUGAAGUUGGAGAGAGAAGCCAGAAUAUUUGCUGUACAUGAAAGAGUUGGGAGGUACAAAUGUCUUCAAGAAAUCUCUAGAAGUCACAUGUGCUCAUCUGGCCUGAGAGCUCAAACUACUCAAACUGACCUCAUAUCACUGCCAUGCCACAAGGAGAAGCAAAACUAGCGAAACGAUAUCCAGUGGUGCACAAGGAUUUCCCAUCAUGCUACAGG